RNAcentral lists this ribosomal RNA (427 nucleotides) under uncultured bacterium. Its description in RNAcentral is "partial 16S ribosomal RNA". It matches the Rfam family "Bacterial small subunit ribosomal RNA", at positions 354 to 796 of the family's 1533-position model. The record is from RNAcentral.
GUGAGGAAUUUUCCGCAAUGGGCGAAAGCCUGACGGAGCAAUGCCGCGUGAAGGAUGAAGGCCUAUGGGUUGUAAACUUCUUUUCUCAGAAAAGAAUUAUGACGGUAUCUGAGGAAUAAGCAUCGGCUAACUCUGUGCCAGCAGCCGCGGUAAGACAGAGGAUGCAAGCGUUAUCCGGAAUGAUUGGGCGUAAAGCGUCUGUAGGUUGUUUAAAAAGUAUUCUGUCAAAGAUUAGGGCUUAACCCUAGAUAGGCAGAAUAAACUUUUAAGCUAGAGUUUGGUAGAGGCAGAGGGAAUUCCCGGUGGAGCGGUGAAAUGCGUAGAUAUCGGGAGGAACACCAAAGGCGAAGGCACUCUGCUGGGCCAAUACUAACACUGAGAGACGAAAGCGAGGGGAGCAAAUGGGAUUAGAUACCCGAAGUAGUCC